AUGAGCAGUGAAGAAACAGACAAGACUAUGGGAAAUGCAGUUCUAAAGUGGGGUGACGAUAAGGGGAAGUGAGACCUCUAGUGGCCACCCAGGGAGACACAGAACAGACACCGUGACACUACCCCCCCUCUAAGGAGCAGCUACCAGAUGCUCCUCAGAACAAAAUAACCACAAAACAAAGAGACCAGGAGGGAGGUGGACUGGUGGAGGCAGAACAGGGGGAGGGAUGGCGGGCCAGGCCCGUGUAGGGGAACUGGGACCGGCAGUGAUGGCUCCCCUGGUAGCCCAGGUGGCUCGGUCAGAUCAGGGGGCCAUGGUGGACCCGAAAGUUCAGGGGACCACGAGGGACCAGGCAGUUCAGGUGGCCACGGUGGAUCAGUCCAUUCUCGUUGUGCAGACGGCCAGGGAGGAAUUCGCCAUUUGAGUGGCCCGAACGGAACCUGCCAAUCGGGGAGCCAGUAAGGAGCAGGCUGUGGCGAUGGCCAGGUCACGGCAUUGGGAACGGCAUCGGGAACGGCCUCAGACAAGGGCACCGCCUCGGGAACGGCCUUGGACACGGGUAUCGCCUCCAGAACCAUCUCGGGCCCCGCCUCGGCCUCCGGAACAGCAUCGGGCACUGCCUCGGGAAUGGCAUCGGACAAGGACACCGCCUCGGGAACGACCUCGGCAUCGGGCACCGCCUCGGGAACGGUCUCAGGAACGGCCUCGGACAAGGACACCGCCUCGGGAACGACCUCGGCAUCGGGCACCGCCUCGGGAACGGCCUCGGCAUCGGGCACCGCCUCGGGAACGGUCUCGGCAUCGGGCACCGCCUCGGGAACGGCCUCGGGAACGGCCUUGGACAAGGACACCGCCUCGGGAACGACCUCGGCCUGCGCAUCGGGCACCGCCUCGGCCUCCGGAACAGCAUCGGGCACCGCUUCGGCAUCGGGCACAGCCUCGGGCACCGCCUCGACCUGCGGAACAGCAUCGGUCUCGGGCAUUACAUCGGGAACCGUCUCUGGCACCGUCUCUGGCACCGCAUCGGGCACCGCCUCGGCAUCGGGCACCGCCUCGGCAUCGGACAUUGCAUCGGGAACCGCCUUGG
Cyprinus carpio carpio is the source of this 1087-nucleotide long non-coding RNA. NCBI's taxonomy places the organism in Eukaryota, Metazoa, Chordata, Actinopteri, Cypriniformes, Cyprinidae. The record is from Ensembl.